AGCCUGGUAAUUUAUUUAGCUUGUCAGCUGUUAUAUGAUGAAACUUUGGGCCUGAUGGCAUGUCUCCGUAUUUCACAUGUUGAUAGGAGCAUGGGGACCGCUUCUCUAUCUGGUCACAGAGCCAGUCUCUGUGAUUUAAUUC
Molecule: small nucleolar RNA, 142 nt
Filed under: Dichanthelium oligosanthes
Lineage: Eukaryota; Viridiplantae; Streptophyta; Magnoliopsida; Poales; Poaceae
Description: Small nucleolar RNA snoR2/U65
Rfam family: Small nucleolar RNA snoR2/U65
Source: Rfam by way of RNAcentral